RNAcentral lists this long non-coding RNA (705 nucleotides) under Medicago truncatula (barrel medic). Its description in RNAcentral is "long non-coding RNA (MTRU_LNC007792)". The record is from RNAcentral. Lineage: Eukaryota; Viridiplantae; Streptophyta; Magnoliopsida; Fabales; Fabaceae.
GAGGGUUUCAUUUGUCCCCAUUCUUCUUCGGAAAUCUUCACCUGCUCCAUCACUCUUCAUCUUCUUCAUCCAUGUAUCCACCACACCACCCCACCUUUAGCCUUUAUUCUCCUUAAAUCAAAUGGUAACAACAAAGACAUAUCAGUAAACAAAUCAAAUAGUCAAGGAUCAUUAUCACCAAGUUCAUCCCAAUUCAUCAUCACCUUGGUUCUUCCUCCCUCAUCACCACCGUCACCGUCACCAUCACCCGUCGGCGACCUCACCACAACCUUAAUCCCCAAAUCCGAAUCCAAUUGAAAUCCAGAAAAUGCAAAUCUGCGAGAGACUUGAUGAGAGAUAAGAUGUUGAACCUCUCUUAAUAUUCCUCGCUAACAACAGGUUCGUCGGUCUUCGAAUCGAAUCUGAUGCAAAGAAGCUUUGUCUCUCCGUUUUCUCUUCUCUCUUCUCCAUGGAAUCAAAUCCAAUUUAAAGGAUUGAUUAUGAUUUGAUGAUAGAUGUGUGUGUAAUGGGUUGUAUGUCUAGAUCUGAGAAUUUAAAAUUCAGGGAUGAAGAUGAAUGUGUUAGUGAUGUUUAUGCCCUUUUCUCUUUUAACACAGAUAAUUGGAGUUUAUAGAAUGGGUUGAAGAUGAAGAGAGGGAAAAAAGCAUGAAGUUCUAGAGAAAAGAAUGAAGUUCUGGAACUGAAGUUUUGGGGGAAAGAAGUUAU